UACGGAGGGUGCAAGCGUUAACCGGAAUUACUGGGCGUAAAGCGCACGCAGGCGGUCUGUCAAGUCGGCUGUGAAAUCCCCGGGCUCAACCUGGGACGUGCAUCCGAAACUGGCAGGCUAGAGUCUUGUAGAGGGGGGUGGAAUUCCUGGUGUAGCGGUGAAAUGCGUAGAGAUCUGGAGGAACACCGGUGGCGAAGGCGGCCCCCUGGGCAAAGACUGACGCUCAGGUGCGAAAGCGUGGGGAGCAAACAGG
RNAcentral lists this unclassified non-coding RNA (253 nucleotides) under uncultured Enterobacteriaceae bacterium. Its description in RNAcentral is "contains 16S-23S intergenic spacer region". It matches the Rfam family "Bacterial small subunit ribosomal RNA", at positions 524 to 776 of the family's 1533-position model. The record is from RNAcentral. Lineage: Bacteria; Pseudomonadati; Pseudomonadota; Gammaproteobacteria; Enterobacterales; Enterobacteriaceae.